Molecule: non-coding RNA, 1180 nt
Organism: Carica papaya (papaya)
Lineage: Eukaryota; Viridiplantae; Streptophyta; Magnoliopsida; Brassicales; Caricaceae
Source: RefSeq, a predicted model, not a curated record
UUUUUAUGGUCUAUCGAGGAAUAUGAGAAAGGUGAUGUCGAAACUGAAGGGAAUAGCAACGAUGAGAAGUGGGAAGGAUCUUUCUUCACCAUUCUUGGACGGAAUCCUCAAAUAGGCCAAACCAUGGUUGGGGAACUAGCAAAAUUAUUCCUCUGAAAUCCUUUUUUUCCUAUACGUUUGGAUGAUACUUUCUUCCAUGUUUUGCUUUUGCUUUCGAAUCACCGGCUACAAUGUGCGGGUAUUACAUACAAGUUGUGCCUGUUAUAGAGAGGCCUGACUCUCAGGUUAUCGGUUUCGUUAUUCAGGUAUUUCUUGCAGCUAUACAUUUCCCAAAACACCAUUAGUUUAAUACAUAUAAACUGUUUACCGGUAAAAUUAAUUUAUAAACUCCGGGUAGAAUGUAGUGAUCCAAUUACUGCUUCAAUCAAAUGGACUAGAGUAGUUCGACAACAUUGCAGACAAGGCUUUGACAGAGUUUCGGUACUGAUGCAUCUUGUAUAAUUGAAAAUUGAUUUAUUCUCUGAAUUUUGGAUGAUAUCUCUUGUUUCUUCUUGUCAUUCAGAUGUGAGUACGAAGAAAAUGUCUCUCUUGUGUACGCGGACACAAGCCUUGCAGAAACUCUAUCAACUUUGAGCAAUACUCGGAGGCUUCUUGGUUGCGUAAGGAAAAACGAUGUCUACCUUGUCGUGGAGAUGGAUGAUCUCUUUAACAAGAGAAAGAGUAUAACCGCGGAGGAAUUUAUUCACAUAGAGCCUGCAGCUGCAAUCAAAGAAGAGAGUGACGGUUUACUUGCAGGCAACAUGUUCCUUCCAAGAAUGGACUCACCGAUUACCAACAAGAAAACUGAUUCCCUGAAGCAAGCCAUGAAGAAUUUGGCAGAAAACAAUUGUAGUAUCAGCUUUCUGGUUGACGAUUUACAUCGACCCAAAAGUUUGCUUACCUUGAGAGACAUAAUCAUUCAAUUUGCACGGCCCUGCAUAGAUUUCACCAUCCGCGGAAGCGGCUUCUUUGAAUCAGCGCUUGAACAAGCUGGUUGUAUUGCCAAAAACGGAACCGUAUUUGUUGAGCAUUGAUCCAUAAAACCAACUACUUUAACCUAUACAAACGGCGACCCAGUUGAUUGAUCAAUAGUUCAUUUUUAUUUUAGUGAAUUAAAAUAAAAAAUUAUUUAGGUGUGAAA